RNAcentral lists this ribosomal RNA (466 nucleotides) under uncultured bacterium. RNAcentral's name for it is "partial 16S ribosomal RNA". It matches the Rfam family "Bacterial small subunit ribosomal RNA", at positions 28 to 506 of the family's 1533-position model. The record is from RNAcentral.
GACGAACGCUGGCGGCGUGCUUAACACAUGCAAGUCGAACGGAAAGGCCCUGCUUUUGUGGGGUGCUCGAGUGGCGAACGGGUGAGUAACACGUGAGUAACCUGCCCUUGACUUUGGGAUAACUUCGGGAAACUGGGGCUAAUACCGGAUAGGAGCUCCUGCUGCAUGGUGGGGGUUGGAAAGUUUCGGCGGUUGGGAUGGACUCGCGGCUUAUCAGCUUGUUGGUGGGGUAGUGGCUUACCAAGGCUUUGACGGGUAGCCGGCCUGAGAGGGUGACCGGCCACAUUGGGACUGAGAUACGGCCCAGACUCCUACGGGAGGCAGCAGUGGGGAAUAUUGCACAAUGGGCGGAAGCCUGAUGCAGCAACGCCGCGUGCGGGAUGACGGCCUUCGGGUUGUAAACCGCUUUCGCCUGUGACGAAGCGUGAGUGACGGUAAUGGGUAAAGAAGCACCGGCUAACUACGU